Molecule: transfer RNA, 70 nt
Filed under: Oreolalax lichuanensis (Lichuan lazy toad)
Lineage: Eukaryota; Metazoa; Chordata; Amphibia; Anura; Megophryidae
Description: tRNA-Gly
Rfam family: tRNA
About the family: Transfer RNA (tRNA) molecules are approximately 80 nucleotides in length. Their secondary structure includes four short double-helical elements and three loops (D, anti-codon, and T loops).
Source: RNAcentral
ACCUUCUUAGUAUCAAAUAGUACAAGUGAUUUCCAUUCACACGGCCUCGGUUCAAGCCCGGGAGAAGGUA